RNAcentral lists this ribosomal RNA (253 nucleotides) under uncultured bacterium. RNAcentral describes it as "partial 16S ribosomal RNA". It matches the Rfam family "Bacterial small subunit ribosomal RNA", at positions 524 to 776 of the family's 1533-position model. The record is from RNAcentral.
UACAGAGGGUGCAAGCGUUAAUCGGAAUUACUGGGCGUAAAGGGCGCGUAGGCGGCCUGUUAAGUCGAACGUGAAAUCCCCGGGCUCAACCCGGGAACUGCGUCCGAUACUGGCUGGCUUGAAUCCGGGAGAGGGAUGUGGAAUUCCAGGUGUAGCGGUGAAAUGCGUAGAUAUCUGGAGGAACACCGGUGGCGAAGGCGACAUCCUGGACCGGUAUUGACGCUGAGGCGCGAAAGCCAGGGGAGCAAACGGG